GAUAACUGGCUUGUGGCGGCCAAGCAUUCAUAGCGACCUCGCUUUUUGAUCCUUCGAUGUCUUCUCUUCCUAUCAUUGUGAAGCAGAAUUCACCAAGCGUUGGAUUGUUCACCCACUAGUAGGGAACAUGAGCUGGG
This 137-nucleotide ribosomal RNA is filed under the name Marmota monax (woodchuck). Its description in RNAcentral is "LSU_rRNA_eukarya". It matches the Rfam family "Eukaryotic large subunit ribosomal RNA", at positions 2825 to 2961 of the family's 3401-position model. Lineage: Eukaryota; Metazoa; Chordata; Mammalia; Rodentia; Sciuridae. The record is from RNAcentral.